Molecule: long non-coding RNA, 490 nt
Organism: Aedes aegypti (yellow fever mosquito)
Lineage: Eukaryota; Metazoa; Arthropoda; Insecta; Diptera; Culicidae
Exons: 2
Source: RefSeq, a predicted model, not a curated record
GUAACGAACUCCGAUAAGUGUUAAUUCUCACACGUUGUAGCCGAUUCGGUGACUUUCAGUUUUUAUUCAGUUACAUUUCUAUCUUCUUCGAGCUAUCACCUAAAAUUAAGAUGUGUAAGAUUGGUAUUUUGUUCUUGGCGAUUCUUAUCGCUACUCAAGUCACCGGAUUCCCCACAACCGAUGUUCCAAAUGAAUCAAGUGAAUCAGAUACCAAAUCACCCCUUCCAAGCACAACUGACAAAAGUGAGAGUGGUGUGCAACUGGCGAAAGUCUCGACGGUGGAAGCAAUCGUUAUCAAUUCACAAUCGCUUGAUUUAGCUGUGUUCCAUGCUCUGACAAACAGGACCAGGCGUGCCACGGGUACGGAGGCAUCAACAACGACAACUACUACUCCAAAGCCGGGUUUUUUCCCUUAUGGGUUUCACUGGAAUAGAUUUUAGGUCGUAAUAAAAUGCACGUGAUUUUGUUUUAUAAUAAUGAGACGUAAUUA